This 62-nucleotide small nucleolar RNA is filed under the name Olea europaea subsp. europaea. The record is from RNAcentral. Lineage: Eukaryota; Viridiplantae; Streptophyta; Magnoliopsida; Lamiales; Oleaceae.
AGAGUUGAGUACUCAGAUUUUUUUGGGUAUUAUAAUUCACGUCUAAAUAUGAAGAUUUGAUG